This 222-nucleotide ribosomal RNA is filed under the name Triticum aestivum (bread wheat). RNAcentral's name for it is "partial small subunit ribosomal RNA". The record is from RNAcentral. Lineage: Eukaryota; Viridiplantae; Streptophyta; Magnoliopsida; Poales; Poaceae.
AUGCAUUCGCUUGUAAACUGGAAGACGGUCUGCCGCCCCAAAGUGCUCGGGGGGCUCGGCAUCACCGACCUGGAACGCUUCGGGAGGGUGCUAAGACUUUGUUGGCUAUGGCAUCAAUGGAACGACCCUGCGCGACCUUGGGCCGGAUCCCUGCUGCCUUGUGAUGCUUCCGACUUCUCCCUAUUCAGGGCCUCCACAUCAAUCACCCUUGGGGACGGGUAA